GUAUAGAACCUACCUUUUACUGGAGAAUAGCCCAGAGAAAUUUGGAUUAAUGCUCCAUGGUAUCAUUUUUUGGCAUCCUUAAAUGAUUAAAGAUUUAUCGGUAGAAGAUGGCUAUGCGUUCUAUUAGCUAGUUGGUAUGGUAACGGCAUACCAAGGCGACGAUAGAUAGGGGUCCUGAGAGGGAGAUCCCCCACACUGGUACUGAGACACGGACCAGACUCCUACGGGAGGCAGCAGUGAGGAAUAUUGGACAAUGGAGGCAACUCUGAUCCAGCCAUGCCGCGUGUAGGAAGACUGCCCUAUGGGUUGUAAACUACUUUUAUAGAGGAAGAAACCGCUCUACGUGUAGAGCUCUGACGGUACUCUACGAAUAAGGAUCGGCUAACUCCGUGCCAGCAGCCGCGGUAAUACGGAGGAUCCAAGCGUUAUCCGGAAUCAUUGGGUUUAAAGGGUCCGUAGCGGGUUUGUAAGUCAGUGGUGAAAGUUUUCGGCUCAACCGGAAAAUUGCCAUUGAUACUGCAAGUCUUGAAUCGUUGUGAAGUGGUUAGAAUGUGUAGUGUAGCGGUGAAAUGCAUAGAUAUUACACAGAAUACCGAUUGCGAAGCAGAUCACUAACAAUGUAUUGACGCUAAGGGACGAAAGCGUGGGCAGCGAACAGGAUUAGAUACCCUGGUAGUCCACGCCGUAAACGAUGGUUACUAGCUGUUCGGAUUUCGGUCUGAGUGGCUAAGCGAAAGUGAUAAGUAACCCACCUGGGGAGUACGUUCGCAAGAAUGAAACUCAAGGAAUUGACGGGGGCCCGCACAAGCGUGGAGCAUGUGGUUUAAUUCGAUGAUACGCGAGGAACCUUACCAGGGCUUAAAUGUAGAUUGACAGGUUUAGAGAUAGACUUUUCUUCGGACAAUUUACAA
Molecule: ribosomal RNA, 911 nt
Filed under: uncultured bacterium
Lineage: Bacteria
Description: bacterial SSU rRNA
Rfam family: Bacterial small subunit ribosomal RNA
Source: RNAcentral